AUGCCAACUUCCCGGCAGCUGUUGGAGUACAAGGCUCUGGUUCACAUUGGUCGGAUCAGGGAGCACGAGGGGCCAGGGACCUGGUUGCGGCCGUCCAGCUCUGAUGGGAGUGGACAGAGCGGGCUGCCGGACGACUCACACGAUUUUUCCGGCCGAGGAGAGUGGAGAGUCCUGCCAUGGACGCGGGGCGUGCGCGAUCACCGCGGCUCGUCCUAUGGUCACCACGGAGGCACAUAUCGGCAAGCGCUGCUGGGGCGCGUUGGUCCGUCUAGCUGGCGAAUCCCUCCCAUGGCGAUGGGCGUCACUGCUGCUGUGCAGGCACGCGCUGGCACCCCAACGGGGCUGGUUCAGGAGCAUAACCGCGCCGCGGAGGGUGGUGCCCAGCAGGAUAUGACACGGCCGCCGGCGGCGAGGCUGGAGACUGGCGACGCGGAUAAGGACCGACAGGUGGGGCUGACCACGGCCACUGCGGAGAAGGAGGCGGAGGCAACUGACACCCAGUUUCCUUCCGAUCACGUGCCGGGCCCGCAUCCGCUUUCUUUUGAGCCAAGGGAGAUGGAUAAGGAAGUGCGGGAGGGUGGGGCUGCCAUGCUAUUGGCUGAGCCAGGGCAGUUGGCAUCUGUGACUGACAGCGAGACGGGACCUGGAAAGGCGGCGAAUCCCGAGGAGAUCAGCCCUCUCGCAGCUGAGGAGGAGGCCAUUGGCGCCCAGGUGACGGCCAAUCGCGACUCGGCCCUCAUCGCGCUGGGCCAGGUGGAGACGGUCCGCACUGACACAUCUGUCGUGCGCUUUGUGGCGGAGGGGCCACAGGAGCGGGUGGAUCGGGGGCCGACAGCACCACUGGCGACUGAUGGUGGGGGCCCUGCAGCGGAUUCCCUCCGCGUUGCGACCGAGGCGGAUUCGGGAUUGGGCGACCCAUGUGUCGAGGAGCAGCUGGCCAUCGUGACCACGCGGGAUAUGGGACCCGCGGGCCCUGGCGCUGAGAUGACCACGUACGGCGCAUGCAUGCACGACGAGGCGUUGGGGAUCGCUGCACCUCAGGAAGCAGGGACAGAUGUCUGCGCUUUGAGCACCCCUCUCUCAAACAAGGAGAUCAUUGCCCUUGGAAACGUCAAAACCUUUUGUGUUGGGCUGCUUAAGAAACUUGCUCCACCGCUGCUCAAGGAGUUUGAAGGUCUGCAUGGGGUCCGAGCCGGCCAGGACCCGUUCACACCGAGGCGCGCCACCAGGUCGGGCUGCUCAAUAGGGCAUAGGAAGUCCAAGGUAUCGGCUGCGGAAGCGGUUUUACUCAAGGCACUGGGUCUGGAUACUGAGGAUCUGGCGGUCUCCGAGGACGCGCUAGAUCAGCUCCGUACGGUGUUUGACUCGCCCCUCCAAGAGACGCAGUUGAGGGCGAUCGCGGCGAUCUUCGGGAAGGCGAUACCGCUCGACCUAGGAGGUGACUUGGAGAGCACGGCGCCGAUCAUGGUAUAG
Molecule: ribosomal RNA, 1473 nt
Filed under: Triticum aestivum (bread wheat)
Lineage: Eukaryota; Viridiplantae; Streptophyta; Magnoliopsida; Poales; Poaceae
Description: partial small subunit ribosomal RNA
Source: RNAcentral